CAGUCGCCGCGGUAAUACGAAGGGUGCAAGCGUUACUCGGAAUUACUGGGCGUAAAGCGUGCGUAGGUGGUGGUUUAAGUCCGUUGUGAAAGCCCUGGGCUCAACCUGGGAAUUGCAGUGGAUACUGGAUCACUAGAGUGUGGUAGAGGAUAGUGGAAUUUCCGGUGUAGCAGUGAAAUGCGUAGAGAUCGGAAGGAACAUCUGUGGCGAAGGUGACUAUCUGGGCCAACACUGACACUGAGGCACGAAAGCGUGGGGAGCAAACAGGAUUAGAUACCCCUGUAGUCCCUGUCUCUUAUAC
RNAcentral lists this ribosomal RNA (301 nucleotides) under uncultured bacterium. RNAcentral's name for it is "partial 16S ribosomal RNA". It matches the Rfam family "Bacterial small subunit ribosomal RNA", at positions 509 to 807 of the family's 1533-position model. The record is from RNAcentral.